The sequence is a regulatory RNA element, 100 nucleotides long. It matches the Rfam family "Gammaprotebacteria rimP leader". The record is from Rfam.
CCUUCGACAGGCCCAUACAGGAUUCUGAUUAAAACCCCGAUUUUUCGGGGUUUUUUAUUAUCAGAAAAGCGUUGUCAUACUGGGCGUUAGCCCUUUUUUU